UAGGGAAUCUUCGGCAAUGGACGAAAGUCUGACCGAGCAACGCCGCGUGAGUGAAGAAGGUUUUCGGAUCGUAAAACUCUGUUGUUAGAGAAGAACAAGGACGUUAGUAACUGAACGUCCCCUGACGGUAUCUAACCAGAAAGCCACGGCUAACUACGUGCCAGCAGCCGCGGUAAUACGUAGGUGGCAAGCGUUGUCCGGAUUUAUUGGGCGUAAAGCGAGCGCAGGCGGUUUCUUAAGUCUGAUGUGAAAGCCCCCGGCUCAACCGGGGAGGGACUUUGGAAACGGAGAGCCUUGAGUGCAGAAGAGGAGAGGGAAAUUCGAUGUGUAGCGGUGAAAUGCGUAGAUAUAUGGAGGAACACAAGUGGCGAGGGCGGCUAUCUGGUCUGUAACUGACGCUGGGGCUCGAAAGCGUGGGGAGCAAACAGG
This 429-nucleotide ribosomal RNA is filed under the name Gemmatimonadota bacterium. RNAcentral describes it as "Gemmatimonadetes bacterium partial 16S ribosomal RNA". It matches the Rfam family "Bacterial small subunit ribosomal RNA", at positions 355 to 776 of the family's 1533-position model. Lineage: Bacteria; Pseudomonadati; Gemmatimonadota. The record is from RNAcentral.